AUGAAUCGUCCCGAAAUGUCUAACUCACAUGAUGAACCGGAGAAGCUACAAGAUUCAAAUGCAACACCGAUGUGUAGUUUACGUGAUGAACUGGAGAAGAAACUACAAGAUUCAGAUGCAACACCGAUGUGUCUUCGUCUAGAAUUUUUGAGAGCCAUCACAUGUGAUUUUUCGACUGAAUCGGAACUUGGUAGAGGUGGGUAUGGAGUUGUUUACAAGGGAGUUCUUCGGAGUGGUAAAAUUAUUGCGGUGAAGAAGCUUUUUGAAUUACAUCUAAAAGAGGAGAAUUUCCAGAAUGAGGUCAGUUAUCUUAUGGGUAUCAAGCACCGAAACAUAGUACAAUUUGUAGGUUACUGUGCAGAAUCGCAUUGGGAAGCGAUAGAGAAACCAAGUGGGAGUAAGAAGCAUAUCUUUGCUGAAGUUCCAAAAAGGUUACUCUGCUUCGAGUAUGUAUCCAACAAAGGCCUCGACAAACAUAUUUAUGAAAGAUCUUUGGACCUCAAGUGGAAUAUGAGAUAUGAGAUAAUCAAGGGGAUUUGCAAUGGCUUGCGUUUCCUUCAUGACGAAUGCCGUAUCAUCCAUCUGGACCUUAAGCCUGAAAAUAUAUUGAUGGACUCUAAUAUGACACCAAAAAUUGCGGACUUUGGUCUGUCCAGGAUCUUUGGCGAACAGCAGUCACACAUUGUCACUGAUAAUCAUGCAGGAACGCGUGGAUAUAUGGCACCAGAAUACUUAAUUCAUGGCGUAAUCACUAAGAAGGCAGAUAUUUUCAGCUUGGGUAUUAUCAUCAUAGAGAUAAUUACAGGUCAAAGGGAGUAUCCUUAUUUUGACCUCGAUAGUUCCAAAAAUGCUGCUACAUCUUGUCAGCAUUUCAAAGAGAAAGUACUUAGAAGUUGGAGGAGCAAAUUUGUAUCCACAUCGAAGUAUAUAUCAAUGAAAAAAUAUAGCCAACAAGUAGAACUAUGCAUCGCCAUAGCCCUAACAUGUGUGGACCCUGCUAUGGAGAAAAGACCUACAGCAAAGGAUAUAGUCCAAGUGCUUAAUGCAGCAGACCAGAUGGAAGCCUGCGGAGGGUUACCUAUAGAAAUGCAGUGCAAGGACAAGUCACUGAUUCUAGACACUACUGUUAGCAAGGAGCACAGUAUCAUUGAAGAUGUAUUCAGCAAUGAGACAGAUGGUCAAAUGUGUGGGGUGAAGCAAUCACAGGAAGGUUUGUCACCAACAACGCCCUUGUGGGAGUCAAACAUACGCACUCAGAAUCACCAAGAGGUAGUAAACGAGUCCAGUAAGCCAGAACAAGCAAGUGACAAAACCAGUGAGGUGGAAGCCCGUGAAGAGUUUCCAUUAUAUACUGCGAGCAAGGAUCUCGCUCCCCAUAGUGUGACUGAAGAGAAUGUCAUGAACAAGACAGAUGGUAAAUUGGUGGAUGAGGGGAAAACAGCAUGCCAUACUGUGACUGAAGACAAUGUCAUCAAUAAGACAGAUGGUAAAUUGGUUGCUGAGGCGAACUCUGAUGAGGAUUUGUCGGACCUUCCAUGGGGGCGAGCAGGGGUGGCUGCCCCGGGUCUCCGGCGGCGGAUUAAGGUACAUCCCCUGCCCAGCCACGAGCAGGCACAACAGGCUCAAGCAUCACCGCCGCCCGCUGCUUCGGUGUUUUUGCGAGAAUCGAGCAUAGGCAAUCAAAAUGAUCUAGGGGGAGCAAAGGAUUCCAGUGUGUCACAAUCAGCACAUGACACAACCACUGAGACUGAGGUAAUCACAGGCUCCAGUGCCCUUCCUGACGUUUGCCCGCUUGAGCUCCACUUUCGCUUCGAACCCGACAAGUUGAUCCCAUGCUCACUUGAAAUAACAAACAACACAGAUGAAAAUUUGUUACUUGUGCUCAUGAAGAAGGGCAAUGACCAGUCAUGCUUCUUAUGUCUGCCAUUGUAUGGAAUUGUUGCCCCGAGGUCCACUUACACUCUCGUUGUGACAAUGAAUAAACACAAAAACCUACCAAAAGAAAGAACUAUAGAUUUAAUCCUGCAGAGCAGUAUAAUUGGUUAUGAUUCAUUAUGUACUGAUGCCAAAUACAUUUGCGAAGAACAUUUUAAGGAAGCCGAAGAGACGGGGACUACGGUGCAUAAGGUUUCAUUGAAAGCUGUUUGUGCCCUACAAGCAGAGAUGCCAUUCGAGGCAAUGCCCCCUUUAAUAAAGAUCAUAUCGGUGGAGAAUACAGAUUCGAUCCAUUCCAUGGAUGCAAAUCAGACAGAUCCAUUAAUUUUAACAGGUUCAUUUGGGUAUGUUCACAUGCAUAACUAUGGCCUACAGAAAUCGGUAGGUUCGGUUGAAGCCUCAAGGUCGCAAAUAGUUUGUGUUAAAUUCAUUGCACGAAAGAGAUGGUUUGUGGCUGGGUCAAGUGAUGGUUUUGUCCAUGUGUACAAAUAUGAGAAUAAAAUGGAAAACAUCAUGAGUUUUGAAGCUCACAGUCUUGGUGUUUGUUCACUAGCCGUUCAUCCAACAAAGCCCUAUGUGCUGUCAGGAUCUCGCGCACAAAUAAAGCUUUGGGACUGGGACCAGCACUGGAGCUUGAAGUGCAUACAAACAUCUGAAGAACACUGGGGCUAUGUUUGUGGAGUCGCAUUUAACCCAGAAGACACCAACAGUUUUGCUAGUUUCACUGAUGGUUCGGAGGAUCACGCAAUACAGGUUUGGAGUAUUGAUUCUCCCGAAUGCAAGUUUACUCUUUCUGGGCAUUCGCGUAAUGUGAGGUGCCUGGAUUUCUUCACACGGGAUGGUCGGAAGUGUUUGGUUACUGGCUCUUUGGACAAGACUGCCAAGAUAUGGGACAUGCAGAAGAAUGCGUGCACUGGUACACUACCUCAUAGGUCCGCAGUUCUUUCUGUCGUUUCCCAUCCCAAUCUUCCAAUUCUAGUAACAGGUACAGAAGACGGCCAUGUUUAUUUGUGGUGCUCCAUUAAUUUCAGGCUCAAGAGGAUACUGAACAUUCAUGGCCGUGAAAGGGUCGAAGGUCUCGCAUGUUUGGCAGGGUCGCGAAGGGUCGCGGUUGCACAUAAUGACGCCCUAUCAGUGAUGGAAAUUGGCGAUGAAGAACAUGGUGGCGGCGAGGGCAAGAGUGAGGAUUCUGUAUCAGCAGCAGAUUGGGAAAUCCUGUUGGAUACAAACGUCAAGAGCAUGCAUGCAAGAAAGAAAGAAAAAGCUAAAAAAUGCUGA
RNAcentral lists this ribosomal RNA (3213 nucleotides) under Triticum aestivum (bread wheat). RNAcentral's name for it is "partial small subunit ribosomal RNA". Lineage: Eukaryota; Viridiplantae; Streptophyta; Magnoliopsida; Poales; Poaceae. The record is from RNAcentral.